GUGGGGAAUAUUGGACAAUGGGCGAAAGCCUGAUCCAGCCAUGCCGCGUGUGUGAAGAAGGUCUUCGGAUUGUAAAGCACUUUAAGUUGGGAGGAAGGGCAGUAAGUUAAUACCUUGCUGUUUUGACGUUACCGACAGAAUAAGCACCGGCUAACUUCGUGCCAGCAGCCGCGGUAAUACGAAGGGUGCAAGCGUUAAUCGGAAUUACUGGGCGUAAAGCGCGCGUAGGUGGUUCAGCAAGUUGGAGGUGAAAUCCCCGGGCUCAACCUGGGAACUGGCUCCAAAACUACUGAGCUAGAGUACGGUAGAGGGUAGUGGAAUUUCCUGUGUAGCGGUGAAAUGCGUAGAUAUAGGAAGGAACACCAGUUGCGAAGGCGACUACCUGGACUGAUAAUGACACUGAGGUGCGAAAGCGUGGGGAGCAAACAGGAUUAGAUACCCCAGUAGUCC
RNAcentral lists this ribosomal RNA (450 nucleotides) under uncultured bacterium. Its description in RNAcentral is "partial 16S ribosomal RNA". It matches the Rfam family "Bacterial small subunit ribosomal RNA", at positions 354 to 796 of the family's 1533-position model. The record is from RNAcentral.